Molecule: ribosomal RNA, 1572 nt
Filed under: Triticum aestivum (bread wheat)
Lineage: Eukaryota; Viridiplantae; Streptophyta; Magnoliopsida; Poales; Poaceae
Description: partial small subunit ribosomal RNA
Source: RNAcentral
UCUGGCUAUGGUUCGCCUAGGAUUGGUGCAAGGUCCCCAGGAGGCACUUUAUCUUCUAGGCAAAAUUUAGGUGGUGCAUCCAACUACCUAGGUUACAAUGGAGUUGGAAGUCCGACUGGAGCAGCUUCUCUUCAGAUGCCUAUCGAUCCGUUAUAUGUUCAAUACCUUGCUGCCCAAGUUGCAGCCAGUUAUGACGAUCCUUUCAUGGCCAGUGGACAUCUAGGAAGUUCUUACAUGGAUUUACUUGGACCUCAGAAGGGUUGCCUUAGCCCACUGCUUCAGUCACAGAAGAACUAUGGCUGCUAUGGAAAUCCUGGAUUUGGCCUUGGUUAUGGCGGUAGUCCUUUGACGAGUCCUGUUCUGCCCUCUUCGCCUGUUGCAUCUGGUAGCCCACUUAGGCACGGUGAGCGCAGCAUGCGCUUUGCAUCAGGCAUGAGAAAUUUUGGUGGUUCUUUUGGUUCGUGGAAUCCGGACCUGGUUGGGAAGAUGGAAGGCAAUCUGAUGCCAUCACUUCUGGAGGAAUUCAAGAGCAACAAGAGCAGAACUUAUGAGCUCUCUGAAAUAGCUGGGCAUGUCGUUGAGUUCAGUGCGGAUCAAUAUGGGAGCCGAUUCAUACAGCAAAAGCUCGAAACAGCCAGCACUGAAGAGAAAGACAUGGUUUUUUCAGAAAUCAUGCCUCAAGCUCUCACAUUGAUGACUGAUGUAUUUGGAAAUUAUGUUGUUCAAAAGUUUUUUGAGCAUGGAAGCACUACUCAGAUAAAGGAACUGUCUGAUCAGCUUAUUGGGCGUGUCCUUGCUCUCAGUCUUCAGAUGUAUGGAUGCCGGGUUAUACAAAAGGCUAUAGAGGUCGUGGAUUUAGCUCAGCAGACUAAAAUGGUUGCUGAGCUGGAUGGACAUAUCAUGCGCUGUGUACGUGAUCAAAAUGGUAAUCAUGUAAUCAAGAAAUGCAUAGAGUGCAUCCCUCAAGACGUUAUCCAGUUCAUUGUCUCAACUUUCUAUGGUCAAGUUGUGCUGCUAUCAACUCAUCCCUAUGGUUGUCGGGUUAUACAGAGGGUGCUGGAGCACUGUGAUGAUCCCACAACACAGCAGAUAAUGAUGGAUGAGAUUCUCCAGUCUGUUUGCUUGCUAGCUCAAGAUCAGUAUGGUAACUAUGUUGUUCAGCAUGUUCUGGAAAAUGGCAAGCCACAUGAGAGUACUGCUAUCAUUGACAAGUUAAUUGGGCAAAUUACACAAAUGAGCCAGCAAAAGUUUGCUUUGAAUGUCAUUGAGAAGUGCUUAGCUUUUGGUAACCCUGUAGAGCGGCAGAUCUUGAUUGGUGAAAUGCUUGGGUCUACUAUUGAAAGUGAACCUCUUGAGGUGAUGAUGAAAGAUCAGUUUGCAAACUAUGUGGUGCAGAAGGUGUUGGAGACUUGUGAUGACCAGCAGAGAGAGAUGAUCCUUACAAGGAUCAAAGCUCACCUGAACACACUGAAGAAGUACACCUAUGGGAAGCACAUAGUCAUGCGUGUAGAGAAGCUAGUUGCUGCUGGAGAGAAGCGCCAGGGGCUUCAACCAGCAUGCACCGCCGCCUGA